AGUGAAUGUAAUAGGAAUGAAGUUUCAUCUGGAAAAUGACGGAAGAGCAAUUCUUUGUUGGGUUUUUCCGUCGCAAACAUUUUAGUUUAUUCAGGUUGAUCAAAUUGAGACAAAAUAAUUUGUUGGGUUUUUGUUUUUAUUAUUUGCCGCACCGAGUAAUGUUUGAUUCUCAAGCGAAGUUACCAAUUUUGACUGCUGAGACUGUGAUGGCUAAUGAUCACAUACACAAACUGACAACACAGGCUAGAAGGCAAAGUAGCGC
This 262-nucleotide long non-coding RNA is filed under the name Linum usitatissimum (flax). RNAcentral's name for it is "long non-coding RNA (LUSI_LNC000825)". The record is from RNAcentral. Lineage: Eukaryota; Viridiplantae; Streptophyta; Magnoliopsida; Malpighiales; Linaceae.